GAUGAACGCUAGCUACAGGCUUAACACAUGCAAGUCGAGGGGAAACGACAUCGAAAGCUUGCUUUUGAUGGGCGUCGACCGGCGCACGGGUGAGUAACGCGUAUCCAACCUGCCCAUCACUUGGGAAUAACCUUGCGAAAGUAAGACUAAUACCCAAUGAUAUCCCACGAAAGCAUCGGAAUGGGAUUAAAGAUUUAUCGGUGAUGGAUGGGGAUGCGUCUGAUUAGCUUGUUGGCGGGGUAACGGCCCACCAAGGCAACGAUAAGUAGGGGUUCUGAGAGGAAGGUCCCCCACAUUGGAACUGGGACACGGUCCAAACUCCUACGGGAGGCAGCAGUGACGAAUAUUGGUCAAUGGGCGAGAGCAUGAACCAGCCAAGUAGCGUGCAGGAAGACGGCCCUAUGGGUUGUAAACUGCUUUUAGAAGGGAAUAAAGUGGGUCACGUGUGACUUUUUGCAUGUACCUUAUGAAUAAGGACCGGCUAAUUCCGUG
This 492-nucleotide ribosomal RNA is filed under the name uncultured bacterium. RNAcentral's name for it is "partial 16S ribosomal RNA". It matches the Rfam family "Bacterial small subunit ribosomal RNA", at positions 28 to 507 of the family's 1533-position model. The record is from RNAcentral.